CUUUUACUACUGGGGUUUCUGGGUUCCGUGUUGAGACAGGAAGGCACACCCACAGCCAAUACCAUCUGUCAAUCAAGAGCGGUGGGAGGCCAGAGACAGAGUUGGCACAGCCGCCUUCAGUGGUGCUAGACAGGUCUGGGCCCAGAGGAUGCCUUGCACAAUCUCUUAGGGAAAUGAACAAAUAUAAAUUAAAAAAAAUGAUGCUUUUGCAAACUAACACAGACUAAAAGAUGAGGCACAUUAGUCCAAAGAGAUGGGUUCCAAAUAAGCAAUCCUGGAUGCAAGAGGAAUGAGUGGACUGGGGUGGGGGGUGCAGAACAACUAGAUGCUCUGAAGCUCUCCUCGUCUCAGGGCAGCACCAGGAGCGGGCUGAAGCUGCCCCGUGCAGUCUCUCUGGAAAGGUAGAAGCUCACAGCCGCUUUCUAUGAGCAGGAGCAACAAUAGCAGAAAUUCCUGAAGUCAAAGGAAGGAAAGCCCAGUUCCUCGGCCUUGCAAUCAACCUCUAGGAAUUCUGGGAGUUUUGGUUACUCUGCAAUUUGGAGAUCAGCGGUGGAUCACAGCCAGGUCUUUAAGAAAGGCGGGGCAUGGCUCCCAAAGGUGGCGACCCUCCAAUACUCUGCCUAGUGAGUGUGCCUUUGGACAGCUGUGUGCUUGUUUAGCCUGGGUUUUAGCUCUGGUCGCCAAAUACUCUGUAACAUCCUGCUUUUUGUCCUCUGCCCCUGGGGGGUUGUCCAGCUCCAUGCCUCCUACUUUGGAAGAGCAGCGCCCCCUUGUGAUCAUGACCGCUCACCUUGGACUCUCUCAGAGAGCUGAACAAAGGGAAGAAGAGGAGCUCUAACCCCAAGAUCUCGAAAGCUUGUGCACAUAGAAGAGAGAACUAACUGCUUGUGAGAGCCAGGAGAGGCCUCACUGGAGACUGUUUGUACUGCACGUUGAAAGAAGAGUAGGAAUUUAUGAUGUCAGGAAGCGGAGAAAGGGCCUUCUAGCACAGGAAGUGCAAAUGCACAAAGGAAAUUGAUGUCUGUGCAGUAUUCCCAAAGAACACACUUAUCUUGGAGACUCAUUAACCCAUCUUGUGCGCAUUGGUUGCCAGGCACUGCAGUGGCUGGGUAUUCAUGGCUGCGGGAGUCCUUCUCCUGAGGUGCAGAGACCGUGGGCUUAGUUGUCCAACUACGGCUGUCUGCAAACGAGAAAGGCUGAAAACCUCCACUCAGUCCAUGAAGAUGGGUGCCUCGCCAAGUUCUCCUGGGGACAUGUCUGUGGGUACAUUUGGAUUGCUGAUUGAUGUACAAAAUGUACAAAGGUCCCACCACACACAGGGAUGGAGCGUGAUCUGGAGUAUAAGCUGAAAUCAACCCUUUCCUCCCUGUGUCGAUUUGGUGGUGGUAUUUACCAAGCAACAGAAAGCAGACUAGAAGAGCCCAUUGAGAGUGUCAUCUGUAUGAGGACUCAGUGAGCCUCUUAGGAAUGAAGACUUCCAGGUUUGGUUAGAGAUGCUCUGGUCUAUGUGGUGGGGUACUUAGAAACCAACAACCGAGUCUUGUUUCCUGGGACAAAAUGGCUGUCAUAGUUUGGGCAUGAAGUGCGUCCCCUAUGGCUCAGGAGUCGAAGGCUUGGCUGCCAGUUGGAAGACCCAGUCACUGGGAUUGUGAGGUCUCUGACCUCUUCAGAGGACUAAUCCAUUGAUGGAUUUGUAAUUUGAUGAUGUGUGACGGGAGGUAGGAUCUACUUGGAGUGAGUGCCUCACUGAGAGAAGUCGCCCUAAGAAGGUACGCCUCCUUCCUGUUGCUUUCCUGGUGUUCCCUGCUUCCUGGCUGCCAGCAGGCCAGUGGCUCUACUCUGUCCUCUCUGCAGGAUACUGGGCUUCACCACAUGCCCCAAUAACCAUGGACUGCAACCUCUGAAGAUGUAAAUCCAAACCAAGUUCUUUCUCCUUUUCAGUUGUUUCUGUCUGGUAUUUGACACAGAGAGGAAAACCUCCUACAAAAGCACAUGAGCUAGGAUUCAAAUAAUUUCACUUGUAUUGGCCAAAAAUCAGAAACUCUCCAGAAUGCAUACAUUAUGGCUCUAUAUACUUCAUAUAUUAUUUAUUUAGAUUCAGUAUGUUUGUUUAUUAGUUCCUUCACCCUAACUUUGACUCCCACCUGUUGCUUAUAUUUAGCCAGACCUGGGAGACUACGGCCUACGUGUUAAGUCCAGCCUAUGGGCUUGUGAGCCAUGACCGUGGCAAUGAUGGUCAAUGUUUUCAAGGCGCAUACAGCAACAUCAUCAACAACAACAACAACAUCAACAACAACAUCAUCAACAUCAACAACAACAUCAUCAACAACAAAACAUAAAGAAGAACAUUUAGCAGAGUCCUGAUAUGGCUCCCAAAGUCUACAGCGUUCACUCUUUGGCCCUUGGGAUAAACGUUUGCCAACUGCUGCCCUGGAGAUGUCCUGACUGCCCUGUGAAAAGAUUGGCGGCUGUUGCUCACUUCCCUCUUACAGCCGUCUUGGGAGGCGGGGCAGCGCCUAUCAUGCCCAUAUCCAGUGAGGCAACAGAAGAUCAGAACAGUUACCUAACUGCUCCGAGGUCACGUUCACGCCGGUGAAGGUAGAAAGGGGUCAGGGGCUCCUAGUUGGACCUCUUAUCGCUAGAUGGCAGAGGGAGUGACUGGCCAAAGUGACUGAGCCAGCUCUCCCGUAGGAGGCAGCAGUGGCUGAACCACAUCCAAACCGAUUGGAGGGCAUUGGGUCUCUCCACCCUUCCUUAGCAAGCAGCUCAUUGGGAAACGGAGAGCAUGAAGAAUAUUUGGAAAUGCUAAAAAUGUUUAACUAGCCUUAUUAUAGACUUGGGCAAGCUGGGCAACAGAAGUUCACAUUGCCCAGCAGACACGGUGUCUCAACUCCCCAGCGUGACCUUACCUCCAGGGUGGCCCCGAAAGCCGUGAAGCGGACUUCAAACAAAUGGCCUUCAUGGCGCCCCCAUUCCUCUGUGCUCUCAUCCUGUUCCCUCUCCUCCACGCAGAAGUUGGAUGCAGACGGCAGCUUGAGGGAAUGAAUGCUCUCAUUGUUCACCAGUGAGCCUGUCAGUCGCUUCCCCACGGCAGCCCCUGAGCAGCCGGUGUGGGGCACUCUGUCCUCAACAUAAACAGCCAGCCAGGCUGAGUAGCGGCUUGUUUUCCUCACCAAGCAGGCAAGGUCUGACAGAUGCUGGGGCCGGCCCCCACCGCUGCCCCAUGGCUGAACAGGGGUUUUGUAUCAGUUAAUGUGACCCAGCUCCUGCCUAAUGUCCUUGAAUGCUACUGAGGAGAGUCCUAAAAUCAAGAUGUGUUCAGGAUGGGUUCUGGGUCACCUUUAAGAAGGAGGGAUGGGAGAUGCAAAGACUAGGCUGCUUGUCUGUCUGUCGCAGACAGUUUAAGAAGCUCUAAUACAAAAUCAGGACUCUGAACAAGGUGACUAUAGACUCUUCAAGGAAGCUAAAAUUCUAAGUUCUCUAAUCUCUUCCUUGACGGUCUGCUGAAACAGAAUGGACUUCUAUCCAGAUAGGCUUAUUCAGCAGAUUGUCAACUGAGUCCUUCUCAUGUACAAACAAGAGCCUUUCUAGGGAGGGACAAAGGAGGAAGCCAGGUGAGAGGCAGUCUCCAGGUUGAGGGGUGUCUGCUGAGUCAAGGAAAUCCCAGAGUUCUGGGGCGAGCAUCUGUUAGCAAUGCACAGAGAGUCUAGCAAUGCAGACAGAGGACACAGCCCAGGAUGGCCUGGCUCCUGCUGGAAGCUUCUGCUCUCGCUCUAGGACUUCCUCAGCCUUGCUCUUUCUACAGUCACUCAGUCACUUAAAGGCAUGUGUUUCCUUCCUUUCUCCCUCCUUCCCUUCUUUCUUUCUUCCUACCUUAUGGCCCCUUCCUUUAUUUUUUUUUUUUUUCCUUCAGAGACGCUCUCUUGCAUCCCAAGCUGACCUCAAGCUCAAUACACAGCCAAGGAUAGCUGUGAACUUCUGGUGCUUGUGACUCCAGCCACCCCCCUACACCCUACCCCUGUCGAGCACUGGGGUUACAGGAGCCUGGAAAGCUAAGGCCCUUCCCUCUGUGUUGGAUGUCAGUGUCUCCUCUUCGGGUGACAGAUCGCUUCACCUUGAGACCUCCAUUGCUUCAACAUUGUCGCGGUCCAGUUUCCAUAUUAUUUUGCCUAUCUUCAAUAAUGUCAAUUGAUAUUUCUCCCUCUGUCCCAUCAGGAUUGAGUGAUAAAGGUGAAUUCAUAAGCUCUAUCCCCUCCUCAUUGUGUUUGAAAUGUGCUUGUUGCUGUGCACUUCUCAAAUGGACAAUUUUAAGAAUGUCAUUCAAGCUAUUACUUUUUCAUCUCCGAGAGCUCAUUCCAGCAUAGUGAGGUGACCCCGACUGCUCCCUACAAAAUGAGUUUCUUAGAGGUAAUUUCUUUAGAAGGAGUAAUUGAAUCCUACAUGUCUUAUCAGUAUCCUCCAAAAAUAGAUAUAUUCCAAAGUUUAUUGUAGAUGGUCUAGUUUUGGAAGAAUAGAUAUGAAGAUUUUUGUGUUAGAGCAUCUGAGCAAGUCAAUCUCAAUGAUUCAAAGCACCCUCUCCAGCUCUAAACCUUCAACAGAUAUACCCCAAAGACCAUAAAACACAGUAGAAGAGGGCUGUGUGCUUCCGUGGGCUAUGCCAACCACAGAACCAUCGGCAGUGCAUGCAGAACAGCUCAUCCAGGGCUCUGUGUGAGCUCCUAUACCCUUGGCAUUUUCUAGCCCUAACCUUUUAGCACUAAGCCAUUCCGAGUGAAUAAUAGAAUGAUGUAGUGGGCUUACGGCUUAUGUUCUUAUAAAUAUUUCCUUAUUAAGUUUCUUAACAAGUCUGACAUCAGUGCUGGGUAGGUCAUAGGUCAUCACGGUCUCUAACUGUGCUAAGGUUGACCCAUCUGUGACCAAGUUAGCAAGACCCUUUUGGUACCAUAAGGGUCCAAUACUGUGUUUACCUUAAUGGUCUUUUAACCUGAAUCCCAAUCAAUUCCAUGGAUAAAUAAGUACUUAGCUCUUCAGCUGGGGCCCGGGGCACUGGAGAUUACUUACACUUUG
This is a long non-coding RNA of Alexandromys fortis (reed vole), 5067 nucleotides long. RefSeq lists it as uncharacterized. The record is from RefSeq and is a predicted model, not a curated record. Lineage: Eukaryota; Metazoa; Chordata; Mammalia; Rodentia; Cricetidae. The transcript is spliced from 9 exons.